This is a long non-coding RNA of Trachemys scripta elegans, 802 nucleotides long. RefSeq lists it as uncharacterized. The record is from RefSeq and is a predicted model, not a curated record. NCBI's taxonomy places the organism in Eukaryota, Metazoa, Chordata, Testudines, Emydidae. The transcript has 3 exons.
CCCAAGAGUGUAAUUCAGCUGCCCCAGCCCGCAAACGUCUCCGGCCGAGCGCCCUGCCUAGGGCAGUUCAUUGGCAGCGCCCGCCCGCCCGGCGCCGCCCCCUUGGGAAGUCAAUCAGGGCAUUGUUGGUGGAGCGCAGAGCUGCACGGCGUAGGGCCCGGAGCCGCCGCACGGGCUGCCAAGACUCCCCCCGCCACCCCAGGGCAGCCAGCUGGCAGGGGCGGCAGGUGAGAGCUGCUGAGUCUCUUUGAAAAGCUAAUGUUUAUCCUGGCCAACUGAAACUUUCUGUCCCAUGUCCAACUCCUGCAGACCUUUGCUGAGUUCCUAGAUUCCACCUGCCAGAGAUUCCCAUGGCUUUCAUGGGCAUGAGCGGAAUUGUCCCAGAGACAGCUGUCUUAGUGGAUGGUGGAGAGUAAUGCAGUCAUUUACGUAGCUGGGUCCCACUGAAGACUUUGAAGAUCAGAAUCAACGUCAACCUGACGGUGAGGUGAUGGGCUGUGUCCGGCAUGGAGGGGCCUACAGAGCAGGUCAUAGAGCUAAGACUCUGAUAUUUUCAGCAAAGUUCCAUGUCUCCAAGAUUUUUUUAAAAAUUAAAAACUGUUUUUAUUUGGAUUCAAAUACCCCCCUACAGUAUUUGGCCUUGAGCUAGUGCACUAGAAUCACAAAAUGAAACUGACUAAAAACAAAAGGGAAACCAACUAGACCAUUUUCCUUGACCAAGCUAAGUGAACUACAUAAAGGAUAGGAGACUUUGAAAGCUCUCUGCUUCUAAUAAUCUAAUAAUAUAUCAUGAAUAACACAA